AGAAAUGGAUUUUACCGGUGGAAAGAGGCAACGAUGGUGGAUCUGAGUCGAGAGAGAAAUGCUCUCGAAGACGCUGAGAGUGAAACCCUAGCAUAGGAAGGUUUCGUGGUAUGUGGAAAAUGAGAAGUGAUGCGUCUGGAGUACGAAUGACGCUGAUAUGGCUUCAAGAAGGAACGCGUGGCUUGAAAACUCGUGACGCGUGUCUGAAGCAGAGUGGAGGAAUUGGUAACGAUGAGAGAGAAGCACGGUGGAGUAAUUGGAACAAUGAAAUAGUGAAGUGUGCUUUGGAAGGAGGCUAGAGGUCUUUGGACUCUCUAGCCAAUGACUUUCAAGGGAGAAUUAUUUUCUGAUUUAGAAAACCAAAUUCUCAUUAAUCUCAAAAGUAAGUACAAGAAGUGUAGGCAUGGCUAUAUAUAGGACUAGAAGUCCCACAUGCCUAACACAAUACAAGGUACAUAAAAGAAAGACUACACUAAAGACAUUGGGCUUGGGCCCCGCGUAUCANAUAUAUAGGACUAGAAGUCCCACAUGCCUAACACAAUACAAGGUACAUAAAAGAAAGACUACACUAAAGACAUUGGGCUUGGGCCCCGCGUAUCAUCCCCUCCCUCUUGGAAAGGAUUUGUCCUCAAAUCUGAUGGUUCGCCUGAGGACUUAUUUUUGUAAACUCCAUAGAAGUUCCUCCUGGAUCAAAUAUUAAUCUGCAAUAAGCAUCAAACAUAUCUCUAAUUAGUUUUAUUUGACCCAAUAAGAUAUAUAAAGGAAUAUAUCUAGAAGAAGGUUUCCUAACUUUGAAAUUUUCAAGUUUAUGAAUAAAAAGAAACCUUACUCCUUUUGAAAAUUUAUUUUUGUCUUGAGUAAGUGAUAACUUGGAAGAUAUCUCUAACUCAAGUCUUUGAUUGCCAUGUGUUAAAGAUUGCAACUUUUGAAAAGGUUUAAUGGCAAUUUUUUGGAAAGAAAAAAUAGAAUUAGAACAUUCAAUAACAAAUGGUAAGUGAAAAGAUAGAAAACCUCCCCUUAAAAAUUUGUGUUCUAUUGUAAGAGCAGGGGAUGUUGCCCUCCAUUGUUCUUUCUUCUUUUCUUCCCUGUCUUUCUUUUCAAGUUCUUCCUUCUCUUCCUCUUCCUUUCUUUCUUUCUCUCUUAUUUUCUCUUGUUCUCUUCUCUCUUGUAUUGUUCUCUCUCUUUCUUCCUUUUCUUUUUUCUCUCUUUCUUCUUCUUCUCUUCUCACUCUUUCUUCCUCUUCUUUUCUCUCUUGUUCUCUCUUUCUCUCUCUUUGUCUUUCUUCUUCUCGUUUUCUCUCUUUUCUUCUCUCUUGUCUCUCUAUUCUUUCUUGUAAUUGUCUAUGUUCUCUCUCAAAUCUCCUUUUACUUCCCUCAUUCAAGAACUUCAUGAGUUUUUCUCUAAACUCUGUUUCCCUACGAUAGAAUCCACUUAAAUUUUGAAUGAAUGACUUGCCUCCUCUAAUAAACUCUCUCAUAAGUUGUAAAUUUCUUUGAAUCUUUGCAGGUAAAAUGUUUUUUCUCAAACACCCUUUCUAUUCAUUCCAAUCAUUGAUGGGAGAUUUUCUACCUAUGGUAACAUGAUAUUCUCUUUCUUCCCACCACUCUCUUGCAUACCUUUCAAACUUGGAAAUGUAUACCCUAGGAACGCAAUUUUGAUUUGCUCGAGAAAAAACAUGAUAUGUCUCGU
This 1689-nucleotide long non-coding RNA is filed under the name Vigna radiata. RNAcentral describes it as "long non-coding RNA (VRAD_LNC011952)". Lineage: Eukaryota; Viridiplantae; Streptophyta; Magnoliopsida; Fabales; Fabaceae. The record is from RNAcentral.